CUCAGACAGACGUGAAUCACCAUUCAUCUCAUUUAUCAGUGUGAGAGCUGGGCUGAUGUUCAGAUUACAAAUCCUUCCAGACGCUUGUUGAUGGAGCUUUAUGUUUCAAUAGGAAUAGGAGAAGAGUUAAAGACCCAACGCAUCGCCUUUUCUCUCUAAGGACAUCAUGCUGUUUUUUGGAGAAUAGAUCAAUGAAUGACUGUCGAUUUGCUAAUCCACGAAGGGGAAAUAACAAAGGCUUUAGGUUCAGAAAUGCGUCUUACAAUGGGAAUGGAAAUCAGAGACAAUCGUCAAGCCCUUACUGUGGAAUAUUUCCCUGGAUCCGAGCCUCAAACAAACCCAGAUCAUAAGCAGCAAGGCAGGCGACACAGCUUGUGUUUAUCCAUGCCAAAUAUCCACACAAUCAGCCGUGACGAAUCAGCCAGCACAUCCCCUUGAAAAAUAUGAAAUGUGUGGCAAUGGGGCAUUCUGGGAAUGUGGGAGAUAGGAGUCAGAGCAAACAUCACUCUCCACAAAAUAAUGGAUGUCCGUUAACCAAUUCUGGAGCUAAUCAUCCACAGAGGCACCAGAGCCCUCUGAUGUGUUUUCUGACCUAGCCAAGGAUGACACCCCUCCCUGAAAACAAAGUUUCAAAGCAUUCGUCUUGUGUGCGGCAAACCUGAACAAAUCAUCGAUAGGAUUUGAAAUCAGGAGAAUGGUGACGUCACGAUUUCCCUUGACACGCCCUUAACAACUCGUGUCUGUCCAUCAAUCACAAGAGCUAUAAUGAUGUCCAGUAAGAGCAUCAAACUCAAACUGCAUCUCCAAAAACUCAAAAGGUACAAAAGCU
This is a long non-coding RNA of Cyprinus carpio carpio, 829 nucleotides long. NCBI's taxonomy places the organism in Eukaryota, Metazoa, Chordata, Actinopteri, Cypriniformes, Cyprinidae. The record is from Ensembl.